RNAcentral lists this ribosomal RNA (513 nucleotides) under uncultured bacterium. Its description in RNAcentral is "partial 16S ribosomal RNA". It matches the Rfam family "Bacterial small subunit ribosomal RNA", at positions 28 to 507 of the family's 1533-position model. The record is from RNAcentral.
GACGAACGCUGGCGGCGUGCUUAACACAUGCAAGUCGAACGAAAAGAGGGAAAGAGCUUGCUCUUUCCGGAAUUGAGUGGCAAACAGGUGAGUAACACGUAAACAACCUGCCUUCAGGAUGGGGACAACAGACGGAAACGACUGCUAAUACCGAAUAAGUUCCAAGGGCCGCAUGGCCCAUGGAAGAAAAGGUGGCCUCUACCUGUAAGCUAUCGCCUGAAGAGGGGUUUGCGUCUGAUUAGCUGGUUGGAGGGGUAACGGCCCACCAAGGCGACGAUCAGUAGCCGGUCUGAGAGGAUGAACGGCCACACUGGAACUGAGACACGGUCCAGACUCCUACGGGAGGCAGCAGUGGGGAAUCUUCCGCAAUGGGCGAAAGCCUGACGGAGCAACGCCGCGUGAGUGAUGACGGCCUUCGGGUUGUAAAACUCUGUGAUCCGGGACGAAAAGGCAGAGUGCGAAGAACAAACUGCAUUGACGGUACCGGAAAAGCAAGCCACGGCUAACUACGUG